AGCAUUUUCCUAACUACAUCCCCAAUUUUCAGCCUAUUUUUGUCUUUUGUAUAUAUUUUUUAUUUUUUAUUUUAUUAUUAUUGCUUUAUUUAUUUAUUUUUGUUCUUUCUUUUAUUUUCUUUAGGUUUUUUUUUAAUUCUUUUCCUCUUGCAUUGAUAAUGUGCUCCUCCAUUUUAUUAUUUCUUUUAUCUUUUUUAUUGCUUUAU
RNAcentral lists this long non-coding RNA (206 nucleotides) under Lathyrus oleraceus (garden pea). RNAcentral describes it as "Pisum sativum (pea) long non-coding RNA (PSAT_LNC014748)". Lineage: Eukaryota; Viridiplantae; Streptophyta; Magnoliopsida; Fabales; Fabaceae. The record is from RNAcentral.